AGCUUCCUGUUCAAACAGAUGAUGAUCGGUGCGUUCAUGGACAAUAUGUGAGAAGUGCUGCCUUGACCUUUUUUAGAUGUGUGCACCUCAGCCUGUCUGAAU
Scomber scombrus (Atlantic mackerel) is the source of this 102-nucleotide small nucleolar RNA. RefSeq annotates it as small nucleolar RNA U13. Lineage: Eukaryota; Metazoa; Chordata; Actinopteri; Scombriformes; Scombridae. The transcript has a single exon. The record is from RefSeq and is a predicted model, not a curated record.